RNAcentral lists this ribosomal RNA (469 nucleotides) under uncultured bacterium. Its description in RNAcentral is "partial 16S ribosomal RNA". It matches the Rfam family "Bacterial small subunit ribosomal RNA", at positions 28 to 523 of the family's 1533-position model. The record is from RNAcentral.
GAUGAACGCUGGCGGCGUACCUAACACAUGCAAGUCGAGCGAUUUACUUCGGAAGAGAGCGGCGGACGGGUGAGUAACGCGUGGGUAACCUGCCCUGUACACACGGAUAACAUACCGAACGGUAUGCUAAUACGGGAUAAUAUGCUUUUAUCGCAUGGUAGAAGUAGCAAAGCUCCAGCGGUACAGGAUGGAACCGCGUCUGAUUAGCUAGUUGGUAAGGUAACGGCUUACCAAGGCGACGAUCAGUAGCCGACCUGAAGAGGGUGAUCGGCAACAUUGGAACUGAGACACGGUCCAAACUCCUACGGGAGGCAGCAGUGGGGAAUAUUGCACAAUGGGCGGAAGCCUGAUGCAGCAACGCCGCGUGAGCGAUGAAGGCCUUCGGGUCGUAAAGCUCUGUCCUCAAGGAAGAUAAUGACGGUACUUGAGGAGGAAGCCCCGGCUAACUACGUGCCAGCAGCCGCGGUAA